CAAUAGCGUAUAUUUAAGUUGUUGCAGUUAAAAAGCUCGUAGUUGGAUUUCGGUUAAGAGCGACCGGUCCGCCGUUUGGUGUGCACUGGUUGGUUUUAACUUCCUGUAGAGGACGUGCUCUGGGUUUAACGACCUGGACUCGGAGUCUACGUGGUUACUUUGAAAAAAUUAGAGUGUUCAAAGCGGGCUUACGCUUGAAUAUUUCAGCAUGGAAUAACACUAUAGGGCUCCUGUCCUAUUUCGUUGGUCUCGGGACGGGAGUAAUGAUUAAGAGGAACAGUUGGGGGCAUUCGUAUUUCAUUGUCAGAGGUGAAAUUCUUGGAUUUAUGAAAGACGAACUUCUGCGAAAGCAUUUGCCAAGGAUGUUUUCAUUAA
This 375-nucleotide ribosomal RNA is filed under the name uncultured eukaryote. RNAcentral describes it as "partial 18S ribosomal RNA". It matches the Rfam family "Eukaryotic small subunit ribosomal RNA", at positions 592 to 976 of the family's 1831-position model. The record is from RNAcentral.